This 1314-nucleotide ribosomal RNA is filed under the name Ceracris fasciata fasciata. Its description in RNAcentral is "16S ribosomal RNA". The stretch from base 877 to 1240 matches the Rfam family "Archaeal large subunit ribosomal RNA", at positions 2150 to 2716 of the family's 2987-position model. Lineage: Eukaryota; Metazoa; Arthropoda; Insecta; Orthoptera; Acrididae. RNAcentral also lists the same sequence under 1 other name. The record is from RNAcentral.
UAUAUAUAAUAUUAUUUUUAUUUUUGGUUUAUUGUUUAUUUAAUAAAAAUAAUUUUGUUGUUUAGUGUCUUAGUAUAUUUUGUAGAAUGGAUUUUAGUUAUUAUAGUUUAUUAGUAAUGUAAUUGGUUUAUGAAAUAUUUGUUUAAAUAAGUUAAAGUAAAUUUUAUUUAUUGUACCUUUUGUAUCAGGGUUUAUUAAAAUUCUAGUAUUGAUUUUAUACUUUUCUCAAUUUGGGUUGAUUUAUAAAUAAAUUAAAGUUAAUGUGUUAUAAUUAUUAUUAAUUUAUUUAUAGAAAUGAAAUGUUAGUCGUUUCCUAAUAUAUUUAGUUUUCUAACAAAAAGUUUAAUUUUUUAAAGUUUCUGUUUUAUUUAAUUUUUUAAUUAAUAAUAUUAACUUAUUAAUUCUUUAAGGGAUAAGCUUUAAAGAAAAUUAUUCUAUAAUUUAUUAAAUUAUAAUUUAAUAAUAAGCUUUAAAUCAGCUAUUUUUUGAUUACGUUUUAGUUCAUUAUUUUUUAUUUUGAUUUUAUAAAUAUUUUAGGUUUUUUAUUAGAAUGAUAGAUUAAAUUUUUUAAUUUUUGUAAUAAUGAUGGAAUAAGUAUAUUUUUUUUUGUUUAUAAUAUUUAAUUUUGAUAAUUUAUUAUAAGGAAUUAGGCAAAAUUAAUUUUCGCCUGUUUAUCAAAAACAUGUCCUCUUGAUUAUAUUUUGAGGUCUGGCCUGCUCACUGAUAAAUUUAAAGAGCCGCGGUAUUUUGACCGUGCAAAGGUAGCAUAAUCAUUAGUCUUUUAAUUAAGGGCUGGAAUGAAUGGCUUGACGAGAAAUUAACUGUCUCUUAAUAAUUUAUAAAAUUUAACUUUUGAGUCAAAAGGCUUAAAUUUUUCUUUAGGACGAGAAGACCCUAUAGAGCUUAACAUAUAAUUUAUAUUUAUACAUUAGAUGAUUUUUAUAUAUUUAAUGAUAAUGUUUUGUUGGGGUGACAUGAAGAAUUAAUAAACUCUUCAUUAUAAAAUCAUUAAUUUAUGUUUAUUUUUGAUCCAUAAUUUAUGAUCAUAAGAUUAAGUUACCUUAGGGAUAACAGCGUAAUUGUUUUUGAGAGCUCAAAUCAACAAAGCAGAUUGCGACCUCGAUGUUGGAUUAAGAAAAAUUUUGGGUGCAGUAGCUCAUUAAUUAGGUCUGUUCGACCUUUAAUUUCUUACAUGAUCUGAGUUCAGACCGGCGUGAGCCAGGUCGGUUUCUAUCCUAAGAUUAAUUAAUUUAUAUUAGUACGAAAGGACCAUAUAAAUAAAAUAUUUUUUAUUAAUUGAUUAAAAUUAAUUUU